RNAcentral lists this ribosomal RNA (1370 nucleotides) under Pseudomonas salomonii. RNAcentral's name for it is "bacterial SSU rRNA". It matches the Rfam family "Bacterial small subunit ribosomal RNA". Lineage: Bacteria; Pseudomonadati; Pseudomonadota; Gammaproteobacteria; Pseudomonadales; Pseudomonadaceae. The record is from RNAcentral.
CGGUAGAGAGGUGCUUGCACCUCUUGAGAGCGGCGGACGGGUGAGUAAUGCCUAGGAAUCUGCCUGGUAGUGGGGGAUAACGCUCGGAAACGGACGCUAAUACCGCAUACGUCCUACGGGAGCAGGGGACCUUCGGGCCUUGCGCUAUCAGAUGAGCCUAGGUCGGAUUAGCUAGUUGGUGAGGUAAUGGCACCAAGGCGACGAUCCGUAACUGGUCUGAGAGGAUGAUCAGUCACACUGGAACUGAGACACGUCCAGACUCCUACGGGAGGCAGCAGUGGGGAAUAUUGGACAAUGGGCGAAAGCCUGAUCCAGCCAUGCCGCGUGUGUGAAGAAGGUCUUCGGAUUGUAAAGCACUUUAAGUUGGGAGGAAGGGCAUUAUAAUACGUUAGUGUUUUGACGUUACCGACAGAAUAAGCACCGGCUAACUCUGUGCCAGCAGCCGCGGUAAUACAGAGGGUGCAAGCGUUAAUCGGAAUUACUGGGCGUAAAGCGCGCGUAGGUGGUUCGUUAAGUUAUGUGAAAUCCCCGGGCUCAACCUGGGAACUGCAUUCAAAACUGUCGAGCUAGAGUAUGGUAGAGGGUGGUGGAAUUUCCUGUGUAGCGGUGAAAUGCGUAGAUAUAGGAAGGAACACCAGUGGCGAAGGCGACCACCUGGACUGAUACUGACACUGAGGUGCGAAAGCGUGGGGAGCAAACAGAGAUACCCUGGUAGUACGCCGUAAACGAUGUCAACUAGCCGUUGGGAGCCUUGAGCUCUUAGUGGCGCAGCUAACGCAUUAAGUUGACCGCCUGGGGAGUACGGCCGCAAGGUUAAAACUCAAAUGAAUUGACGGGGGCCCGCACAAGCGGUGGAGCAUGGUUUAAUUCGAAGCAACGCGAAGAACCUUACCAGGCCUUGACAUCCAAUGAACUUUCCAGAGAUGGAUUGGUGCCUUCGGGAGCAUUGAGACAGGUGCUGCAUGGCUGUCGUCAGCUCGUGUCGUGAGAUGUUGGGUUAAGUCCCGUAACGAGCGCAACCCUUGUCCUUAGUUACCAGCACGUUAUGGUGGGCACUCUAAGGAGACUGCCGGUGACAAACCGGAGGAAGGUGGGGAUGACGUCAAGUCAUCAUGGCCCUUACGGCCUGGGCUACACACGUGCUACUGGUCGGUACAGAGGGUUGCCAAGCCGCGAGGUGGAGCUAAUCCCACAAAACCGAUCGUAGUCCGGAUCGCAGUCUGCAACUCGACUGCGUGAAGUCGGAAUCGCUAGUAAUCGCGAAUCAGAAUGUCGCGGUGAAUACGUUCCCGGGCCUUGUACACACCGCCCGUCACACCAUGGGAGUGGGUUGCACCAGAAGUAGCUAGUCUCCUUCGGGGGACGGUACC